Molecule: long non-coding RNA, 732 nt
Organism: Drosophila subobscura
Lineage: Eukaryota; Metazoa; Arthropoda; Insecta; Diptera; Drosophilidae
Exons: 3
Source: RefSeq, a predicted model, not a curated record
UGGCCGCGCGAACCCCGGACUCCUGCCCAGACCCCAUGGCAGGCGGACCAUAAAGCGCUGACAUAAAUCACGGCAAGCCGACAGUGAGCCCCAGCCUAAUCCAGCCGAGACACGGCAGUAGGUCACUCGGAGCAGUUGUUAUAUAAACAAGUUAACUACACGAUCGCCAAGAAACUGGUAUUCCAAGCAGAGUCGAGAGCUGUAGAGCUGGAGAGCUCGAGCCACUCGCGGAUUCGCCUUUUUAAUUAUACAAAAUGUAACGCUUGCGUUGGCGUUCCUCAAACUUCGUGGCAAAACAAAGCAUUCUGAGAAUGUUGUGGCAGCCGCCAACCCACAGAUGAGAGAACGAACCGGAGACAGAAUGUUGCGGGGGCAAUGCUCAUACAUAAGGCCAUUAUUCAUCAUUCAUGGCAGCAGGCGUUGCAUUCAACACAAACAUUAGAGCAUUACAUUGGCCAGACAAUAUUUUGAUGGCUAACAAACCACAAAUUAACCAAUUAAUAGGCGAUGCAUCAAAAGGGAAAGGCCAGAAGGCUCACUCCACAUGGCCUAGCCGAGUUCCCAGCGUUCGGAUGAUACGCCAACCCAGCAACUCGAAACGAACAUUAUUAUGAUGACCCCUUCCGCCUGGGUGGAUGCUGCGUCGAAGUGCUAAAAGUUCGACAGGGAGAAGCUCCGACUUUCGGCUCAGCAGAGCUCCGCCAUAACGCUGGCACUUUUCCCAGGCAAAUG